AUCACUCAGAGAUUCUGAAUUCUGGACUUUGAGCUCAAUGCCAUGACUGAGGAAGACCACGGGGUUUUCUCUCUUAGAGGGGAGGAAUCCUUGAUAUUCUUCAUUCCAAUUGUUCACCUCUACUGUAGGGCUCAGUAAACACUUAAGGAAGUUGCCGUGCACUGCAGCCUGCCGGAGACAUGAAGGAAUGUACGGGAGGAUAAUCGCAACAUCAUCAACCCAAUUCUCCAAGUAAUUUGCCAUGGGACAGGCACACCCCAUGUGUUUGGGAAGACAAUGGGAAGGUUCUGUUUUCUGCUCCAAGACUGAUUCAACCAGUUGGAUCUGGAAGGGGAUAAAGGGCUGUGUGGCUGCUUGAUUUUCAUUGUCUAGUGGCAGCCAAAAUUGGAAAAGAGAGAAGUGCAGACUUUAAAGACAAGCAGCGACAGCUCAUCAGCAGUCUAACAACACGACAGAUGACAGGCCCAGAGGCACACCCAGGGCCGCCAGCCCAUCACCCUGUGCAGGAUGUCAAAGAGCAGCUGCAGCAAAGGAAGAAGAUCAUCCAGACUUAAAUGUUUGGGCCUUGCUAAGACCAUAGAGUCUUUGUGCUUUGGAAACAGUCCUCCAUACAAAGACCCCUUCCUAGAAAAGAGUGGAAAGAAACCAAGGUGGAAUGGAUACAACAGAAAGGAGACCAUGCUAAUAUUCUUGUGCAAUGCUUCCUGGGCAGAAAUUAUGUCAUAAAGGAUGUUCAAUUCUGCAAAGCUAUGUCUCUCUCUGCGGUUUGCCUCAGAGGAGGGGCGUUUCAUAGCUGUAGUGAGUAAGGGGGCCCUUGCUGACGUUCAUCAGAUAUGCCAAGGCACAGGAAGAAAGCAUUGAGGUCACAGGGCAGCUCAGGUCCGCCUGUGGUAAUUGAAAACAGGUGACGAGAUUGGGUUGAUUUUAUUUUGGAAAAGUAAAUUAGUGCUGCACCACUCGGACAUGGCUAAUUCAUGAAGCCUCUGGUUUGUAUUAGACACCCAACAUGCCUUUCAGAAAGAAAUGACACAACAAUUAAUGUGUCAAACAAUAAUGUGCCACUCGGAGAAAGAUAAUUGUACCCAUCGUCAGGUAGUUAUUAGGUCGAACGAAUGCUCAUCCUUUCAAAGGCAACAGCGUCUAUUCACUCUGGCAUCCUACUGUAAGUACAGUAUUGUGUUCAUAAUCACACAGACUGAAGCCAGGAACACUGGGUUUUAUCUGAUUUUUCUCCAUUUGGAAUUGUACUCCGAUGAUUCCCUAAACAGCAAACUCAGUCAUGUGAAACACAAAUGAGUGUGAUGAAAGACAGAUUGUUAUACUGCAGGAGAGGCUUUCUGUGCUUUUCACAUAAUAUAGAGCAUGAGGACUGUUCCCAAGAAGGUUUAAGCAUAUGUAACAAAAACUACCAGACCUGAAUUUGCUCAUGUGUAAAUGAUAGUCUUUCCUUCUGGCGAUUUAAUGCAUGAGGACAUCAAUCAGUCACAUCAUGGCCUCAGAAGUCCUUGUUCAAUUUCUGAUGUCAUAACUUACUCGAUGUGGGAUUUGGACAAGUCAUUUAACUUCACCGCAAUUCUGUUUCCCUCAUUUGAAAAAUAGAAAUAGAAGAGCCUGCUGUAUAUUUAGAUCCACAUCUGUUGGGAGGUCAAAGAAGAAAGAAUAUGAAAAGUUGUUUGUAAAUAUAAAGAACCAUGUAAAUAUAAGACAUUGUUUUAUUAAUGCUCCAGAUCAAUUAACGUUCAGUGAAUGAUAAAAUGUGACAUCUUUUCAACAGAGGCAGUUUUACUUAAGAAAAACUAGGCAAUGGCUUCUGUCCUUACAAAUGAAAAACUUCAUAAUAAAUGGGGGCUAUCAAGACCACCUGGCCAAAACUGAACUAAAUACUCACGUCAUUCAACCAAGAAUGAGGAACUGAAAUACAUUAUUAUAUAUGCAUAUGCUUCUGUUUCAUCUACUUGGGCAUGCUUGUGAUGAGAUAUGAAAAAUUAGCCAUCUUUAGAAGGAAAGAAAUAUUGUAUUUGGGGGUAUUUCUUCUGUACAGACAAUUGGCCUGGUUAUUGUCUAAAGGUAUUUAAAAUUAAUAAAAUGCAAUUUUAUGCUACAUAAAAUAUUCAAAGCAACGAUAUUUCAAGGUAUAGCUUCUAUACCUUGUCCUCCCCUGAAGAUGCAUUCUCAACCGAUAUCUUGACUAUAUGGACAACAAAUCGUAAAAGAAAAAUGUAUAGUGUGGUGUUUGACGUUGAGUAGCUUAUGAUAGACAUUCAUACCUGUAAAGAGAUCUCGUUAGGGGAAACAAACUAAUAUAUAACAAACAGAUAAUUAAAGUAAGCAGUACUGAGACAGAGAAGAGUUGGUGACUUAGCCUGUUGAAGAUAGACACUUUGCUAAUUAGGAUUUAAAAAUAUAGGCAUAUCUGCUCUAAUAUCGUAUAAAUAUUGCCAAAAAACUCUUGUAUUCUGUAAAAGAAUACCUAAAAACAAACAGAGCUGACAGGCAAAAUAAGAUUGGCGGUGUGAGACCCACUUGAAAUCUUUUUAUAAUUCUAUCUUGAAAGUAUUAUUGCAUUAUAUCCAUCUUUAGAUAAUUAAUUGAAGUAAAUCACUAAGUCCGGUCCACUUCAAGAAGAAAGGGAUUAAGAGAGAAUUUGGGGGCUAUCUUUGAAGCCAUCACAGGCUAUCUCUUAGAGGUAAAGGAGUGUUUAAGGAAGAGAAGACAACAUAAAUGGAGAGGCCCAAGAGUUGGUUCUUGGGAUCAUUAGAUAAUGGCAGCCACAGAGAGAGGCAGUGGCAAUAAUAAUGAACAAUCCAGCAUAAGCCCUGUCCUCUCUUCCUGGAGGACAGAGAGAGGUGUUGGCAGUGGUCUUAGGUUUUAAGUGUGAAAAUAAGUAAUUCAAAAUCUAAGCUGUUGGAAUUAUAAAUUAUUUUGAGCCUUAAAGGAAUGUGAUUACAAGGCCUGAGUUACAUGGCAGGCAGCUGCAACCUAAGCAACUGUAAUCUGUGUUCCUCUGAUUAUAGAUUAGCCUUCUUCCUUACCUACAUUGUUUUGUAAAAUGCUGUAAAUGACUAAAGGGCACCAGGGAAGCCUCCUUCCCUCUUCACCCUUGAUCUCCAUUAUAGAUUAGCUUCCCUCUUACCUUUCUCACACAUAGAACUCAUGGCUAUCACAUUGUCUUAAGAUGAAAUGUUAAAUACACUUUUACAGUGGAAAGAACAUGAAAGCCAACCCUAUGGAAAAGAAAACAACCUAAUUAAAUUGUUGUAACUCAUAAACCAGCCUUGUAUAUAAAAUGUUAUAAUCUUACUAAACUUCUUUGUUUUCUGCCUAUAUAAGCAAGAACUUAACUUUUGUCUUUGGGGCACUGACCUCAUUUAUCUGAAGUCUGUGUCUCCUGGAUGGCAAUUCCCAGGUUUUCACUCAAAUAAACUUUAAAACUGGAUUCUAAUCCUUUUGAUUAUUUCAGGUUGACAGAAGCAACUUGGGAGAUGGGGUGGCAGGUCAGAGUCUCUUGAAUUGUUUGGUAAUUCCUGGCAUAAUUCUAAGGUAUAAGCCAGCUGCUGUUUUGUCAAGUUAUUCCCUGGAAAAUGAUCAUUGUAUUAAAUACAUGUACCAUUUU
This is a long non-coding RNA of Pan troglodytes (chimpanzee), 3613 nucleotides long. RefSeq lists it as uncharacterized. The record is from RefSeq and is a predicted model, not a curated record. NCBI's taxonomy places the organism in Eukaryota, Metazoa, Chordata, Mammalia, Primates, Hominidae. The transcript is spliced from 3 exons.